GGCUUGUUGAUUAUGAUUUCAAGUCUAGCCUGCCCAGUGAAAUAUUUAAAUGGCUGCGGUAUUUUGACCGUACAAAGGUAGCAUGAUCAUUAGUUUUUUAAUUGGAAGCUUGUAUGAAGGGUUUGAUGAGAAAAUUUCUGUCUCUAGGAAAAUUAAUUAGAAUUUUAUUUUUAAGUGAAAAAGCUUAAAUGUCAGUAGAAGACAAGAAGACCCUAUAGAGUUUUAUAUUUAUUUAAUUAAGAUGUAUAUUAGUAUGUAAAGUAAAUUUUUUUAAUAAGUAUUUAGUUGGGGUGAUAGAAAAAUUUAAUAAACUUUUUUUUUAUUUAUACAUUUAUUUGUGAGUGGUUGAUCCUGAGUUUAGAUUAAAAGAAAAAUUACCUUAGGGAUAACAGCGUAAUUUUUCUUAGAGUUCUUAUCGAAAGAAGAGUUUGCGACCUCGAUGUUGGAUUAAAAUUUAUUGUUGGUGUAGGUGCUGGUGUGAUUAGGUCUGUUCGACCUUUAAAAUUUUACAUGAUCUGAGUUUAAACCGGUGUGAG
Molecule: ribosomal RNA, 536 nt
Filed under: Trigonopterus sp. 872 AR-2022a
Lineage: Eukaryota; Metazoa; Arthropoda; Insecta; Coleoptera; Curculionidae
Description: partial large subunit ribosomal RNA
Rfam family: Archaeal large subunit ribosomal RNA
Source: RNAcentral